This 75-nucleotide transfer RNA is filed under the name Phreatobacter sp. Its description in RNAcentral is "tRNA-Thr". It matches the Rfam family "tRNA". From Rfam's summary of the family: Transfer RNA (tRNA) molecules are approximately 80 nucleotides in length. Their secondary structure includes four short double-helical elements and three loops (D, anti-codon, and T loops). Further hydrogen bonds mediate the characteristic L-shaped molecular structure. tRNAs have two regions of fundamental functional importance: the anti-codon, which is responsible for specific mRNA codon recognition, and the 3' end, to which the tRNAs corresponding amino acid is attached (by aminoacyl-tRNA synthetases). tRNAs cope with the degeneracy of the genetic code in two manners: having more than one tRNA (with a specific anti-codon) for a particular amino acid; and 'wobble' base-pairing, i.e. permitting non-standard base-pairing at the 3rd anti-codon position. Lineage: Bacteria; Pseudomonadati; Pseudomonadota; Alphaproteobacteria; Hyphomicrobiales; Phreatobacteraceae. The record is from RNAcentral.
GCUGCGGUAGCUCAGUGGUAGAGCACACCCUUGGUAAGGGAGAGGUCGAGAGUUCAAUCCUCUCUCGCAGCACCA